Molecule: ribosomal RNA, 253 nt
Filed under: uncultured bacterium
Lineage: Bacteria
Description: partial 16S ribosomal RNA
Rfam family: Bacterial small subunit ribosomal RNA
Source: RNAcentral
GACAGAGGUGCCGAGCGUUAGGCGGAAUCACUGGGCUUAAAGCGUGUGUAGGCGGGCGGGCAAGUACCUUGUGAAAUCCCACGGCUCAACCGUGGAACGGCUGGGUAUACUGCCUGUCUUGAGCCAACUAGGGGCGAGCGGAACAGACGGUGGAGCGGUGAAAUGCGUAGAUAUCGUCUGGAACGCCGAAGGUGAAAACAGCUCGCUGGGGCUGCGCUGACGCUGAGACACGAAAGCCAGGGGAGCGAACGGG